RNAcentral lists this transfer RNA (76 nucleotides) under Betaproteobacteria bacterium RBG_19FT_COMBO_58_11. RNAcentral describes it as "tRNA-Thr". It matches the Rfam family "tRNA". Rfam says of the family: Transfer RNA (tRNA) molecules are approximately 80 nucleotides in length. Their secondary structure includes four short double-helical elements and three loops (D, anti-codon, and T loops). Further hydrogen bonds mediate the characteristic L-shaped molecular structure. tRNAs have two regions of fundamental functional importance: the anti-codon, which is responsible for specific mRNA codon recognition, and the 3' end, to which the tRNAs corresponding amino acid is attached (by aminoacyl-tRNA synthetases). tRNAs cope with the degeneracy of the genetic code in two manners: having more than one tRNA (with a specific anti-codon) for a particular amino acid; and 'wobble' base-pairing, i.e. permitting non-standard base-pairing at the 3rd anti-codon position. RNAcentral also lists the same sequence under 8 other names. Lineage: Bacteria; Pseudomonadati; Pseudomonadota; Betaproteobacteria. The record is from RNAcentral.
GCCGGCAUAGCUCAGUUGGUAGAGCAGCUGAUUUGUAAUCAGAAGGUCGCGGGUUCGAUUCCUGCUGCCGGCACCA